This 437-nucleotide ribosomal RNA is filed under the name uncultured bacterium. Its description in RNAcentral is "partial 16S ribosomal RNA". It matches the Rfam family "Bacterial small subunit ribosomal RNA", at positions 29 to 507 of the family's 1533-position model. The record is from RNAcentral.
AGCGAACGCUGGCGGCAGGCUUAACACAUGCAAGUCGAGCGGGCAUCCUUGUGGUGUCAGCGGCAGACGGGUGAGUAACGCGUGGGAACGUGCCCUUCGGUUCGGAAUAACUCUGGGAAACUUGAGCUAAUACCGGAUACGUUCGAGAGCAGAAAGGUUUAUCUGCCGAAGGAUCGGCCCGCGUCUGAUUAGCUAGUUGGUGAGGUUAUGGCUCACCAAGGCGACGAUCAGUAGCUGGUCUGAGAGGAUGAUCAGCCACACUGGGACUGAGACACGGCCCAGACUCCUACGGGAGGCAGCAGUGGGGAAUAUUGGACAAGGGGGGCAACCCUGAUCCAGCCAUGCCGCGUGAGUGAUGACGGCCAUAGGGUUGUAAAGCUCUUUUCUCCGGGACGAUAAUGACGGUACCGGAGGAAUAAGCCCCGGCUAACUUCGUG